GUUCAGCCACUCAGCUGAGACCACUGAGUUGUACUCGUAGCGUUCUCAACCGUGCCCAUGGCUCUGCUAGUUUUUCUCAAGGGGAAACCAAAAUUCUUGCUGCAGUUUACGGGCCAAAGGCUGGGACAAAAAAGAAUGAGAAUCCGGAAAAAGCUUGUAUUGAAGUCAUUUGGAAGCCCAAAUCUGGCCAAAUCGAUGCUGACGCUGUUUCCAUCGGCUAAUGUUUUAUUGAAUUUGCUAAAUACUAGGGAAAGCAGAAAAGGAGUAUGAGAUGAUACUGAAGAGAACUUUGCAAAAUAUCUGCAUUUUGAAUGUUCAUCCUAAUACCACCACAACAAUUAUUAUCCAGGUUGUUAAUGAUGAUGGUUCAGUAUCCUUCAUGAUUAUGCAGCUUCAUUUACUGCAAUAAUGGUAUAUAUAGAGCCAACACUGUUUGCUUUCUGAUGCAACUAAUUCAGCAUUUGGAUUUUCCUGGUUCCUGAACCUGAUUUUAAAUCUAUGGCAUGGGGCAUUUCUGAGGUAUACUGUGCAUAGCAAGCUCAUUUGCCAAUUAAAGAAAUUUAAUGAAUGAAUAAAUUUAUGAAGGUAUGCGUUUCUCAAUGUGCUUGCUGACUGUUUUUAAUUAAACAUAAAUUCUGACCAAGGAACAGAAAUGAAACAAAAAGUUAUCAAGUAAACGUUAAAUUUUACCUUGUUAGCCUGAAUUUUGGAAACUUUGGUUUCUUUACCUGUCUUUCACUUUUCGUGUUUUACUUCAUUAUUCUUGUUUUUCUUUAUCAAGGAAACAUUAAAUUUCACCUUGUUAUCUUUAAUUGAAAUUUUGCAAAUCACCACCCCUGUAGCUGUUAUUAUGAGUUCCAUUAAAGGACUUUAUUUUAUGGUUUCUACUUGGAGCUUGUUUGGUUUCCAUUAUAGAACGUGUGGGAAGAGUUUAUAAACGUUUUAAAUUAUAAAUAAAUAUAAGUGAGUCGUUAAUAAGUGAAUAGCACUUAUUGAUCCUUCUAAAUGCGUGGAUAAAAAAUGACUUGAAUAUUUAUAAACUAUAUAUAAACAUGAGCCAAACAUAGGAUAAUCUCCUUGUAAUUUAAAGGUCAAAAGUUAAAUUUUAAUUUUAACUAUAGAUUUCAUAAGACCCAGAACUAUAAUAUACUUAUCCACCAAUCAUUUCUAUCGCGUUAUAAUUUCAACAACUUAUAAUAAAAACCAAACAAGCACUAUCAUUUGUAAAGAAAGAAAAUUCAUCUUUCGGAUGUAUUAAAGGGAAAAAAAAAUAAUAAUAUCUCAUGCUAUCAUAUGAUGUUGGGUUUUAUAUAAGCUUGGCACGUGUUAAUAUUUCCAUGUUUGGAAGGCCAUUAUUCGUUAACUUCCUUGACUAACCUUUUGUUAAGCUUCUCCCUUGUGCUAUAAAUGCAGCAUGUUCUGCCCUUGUAGAUGCUGGAAUUCCUUUGAAAUAUCUUGCCGUUGCCAUAAGUUUUUGUCUAGCAGAAGACGAGUAUUGUGUAUUGGAUCCCAACAAGCUAGAAGAACAGAGUAUGAAGGCACUGGUCUAUUUAGUUUUCUGAAACUCGAUUCUGUCUGUACUUGAUGAAGAAUCAGUGGAAGUAGGAGAAUAAAUUGAAAAUGGAGUUAUCACAUCUGUUACUCAUGGUGUGAUGACAGUGAACAAUUAAUUUCAGUGUCUGGAGCAAGGACGCGCCGCAAUCAAGCUGCUGUCUGAUUUUCUAAGGAGAAAGUUGUGGUCGAAAGUUCAAAGUGAUGUAUCUGUAGCUGGCUGAAUUUUUUGAGGCAAUGACAUAGGAUCUCAGCAUCAGAAAAUAUUUUGAUUUUCUUGGUAUGUGCUGAAUGUUCUGUAUAUAAUUUUCGUGCGUGCUGAAUCCGCUUGAAGCUAGAUGUGUUGUGAAAUAUUUUGCAGGAAAGUAUAAAUUAACUACGGUAUAGAUUUGGUUAAGGAUACACGGUUCGUUAA
Molecule: RNA transcript, 1966 nt
Organism: Olea europaea var. sylvestris
Lineage: Eukaryota; Viridiplantae; Streptophyta; Magnoliopsida; Lamiales; Oleaceae
Gene name: exosome complex exonuclease RRP46 homolog
Exons: 7
Source: RefSeq, a predicted model, not a curated record